Molecule: ribosomal RNA, 494 nt
Filed under: uncultured bacterium
Lineage: Bacteria
Description: partial 16S ribosomal RNA
Rfam family: Bacterial small subunit ribosomal RNA
Source: RNAcentral
GAUGAACGCUGGCGGCGUGCUUAACACAUGCAAGUCGAACGGGAAACAUUUCAUUGAGGCUUCGGCGGAUUUGGUCUGUUUCUAGUGGCGGACGGGUGAGUAACGCGGGGGUAACCUGCCUUAUACUGGGGGAUAACAGCCAGAAAUGACUGCUAAUACCGCAUAAGCGCACGGGGACGCAUGGCCCUGUGUGAAAAACUCCGGUGGUAUAAGAUGGACCCGCGUUGGAUUAGCUAGUUGGCAGGGCAGCGGCCUACCAAGGCGACGAUCCAUAGCCGGCCUGAGAGGGUGAACGGCCACAUUGGGACUGAGACACGGCCCAGACUCCUACGGGAGGCAGCAGUGGGGAAUAUUGCACAAUGGGGGAAACCCUGAUGCAGCGACGCCGCGUGAAGGAAGAAGUAUCUCGGUAUGUAAACUUCUAUCAGCAGGGAAGAUAAUGACGGUACCUGACUAAGAAGCCCCGGCUAACUACGUGCCAGCCGCCGCAGUAA